This 406-nucleotide ribosomal RNA is filed under the name uncultured bacterium. Its description in RNAcentral is "partial 16S ribosomal RNA". It matches the Rfam family "Bacterial small subunit ribosomal RNA", at positions 30 to 526 of the family's 1533-position model. The record is from RNAcentral.
AUUGAACGCUGGCGGCAGGCCUAACACAUGCAAGUCGAACGAGUGGCGGACGGGUGAGUAAUGUCCGGGAAACCGCCCGAUGGAGGGGGAUAAAUACUGGAAACGGUAGCUAAUACCGCAUACCAUCGGAUGUGCCCAGAUGGGAUUAGCUAGUAGGUGGGGUAACGGCUCACCUAGGCGACGAUCCCUAGCUGGUCGGAGAGGAUGACCGGCCGCCCUGGAGCUGUGCCACCGUCCAGACUCCUACGCGAGGCAGCAGGGGGGAAUAUGGGACAAUGGGCGCAAGCCUUGUGCAGCCAUGCCACGUGUAUGAAGAAGGCCUUCGGGUUGUAAAGUACUUUCAGCGAGUGUGCGUUACUCGCAGAAGAAGCAACGGCUAACUCCGUGCCAGCAGCCGCGGUAAUUC